GACGUAGGGUGCAAGCGUUGUCCGGAAUUAUUGGGCGUAAAGAGCUCGUAGGCGGUCUGUCGCGUCGGCUGUGAAAACCCGGAGCUCAACUCCGGGCCUGCAGUCGAUACGGGCAAACUGGAGUGUUGCAGGGGAGACUGGAAUUCCUGGUGUAGCGGUGAAAUGCGCAGAUAUCAGGAGGAACACCGGUGGCGAAGGCGGGUCUCUGGGCAACAACUGACGCUGAGGAGCGAAAGCGUGGGGAGCGAACAGG
RNAcentral lists this ribosomal RNA (253 nucleotides) under uncultured bacterium. Its description in RNAcentral is "partial 16S ribosomal RNA". It matches the Rfam family "Bacterial small subunit ribosomal RNA", at positions 524 to 776 of the family's 1533-position model. The record is from RNAcentral.